ACAGAGGGUGCGAGCGUUAAUCGGAUUUACUGGGCGUAAAGCGUGUGUAGGUGGCUACCUAAGUCGAUUGUGAAAUCCCUGGGCUUAACCUGGGAAUUGCAGUCGAUACUGGGCAGCUAGAGUUCGGUAGAGGGUGACGGAAUUCCCGGUGUAGCAGUGAAAUGCGUAGAUAUCGGGAGGAACAUCGAUGGCGAAGGCAAUCACCUGGGCCUGGACUGACACUGUGACACGAAAGCGUGGGUAGCAAACAGGA
This 253-nucleotide ribosomal RNA is filed under the name uncultured prokaryote. RNAcentral describes it as "partial 16S ribosomal RNA". It matches the Rfam family "Bacterial small subunit ribosomal RNA", at positions 525 to 777 of the family's 1533-position model. The record is from RNAcentral.